Molecule: ribosomal RNA, 433 nt
Filed under: uncultured bacterium
Lineage: Bacteria
Description: partial 16S ribosomal RNA
Rfam family: Bacterial small subunit ribosomal RNA
Source: RNAcentral
AACGAACGCUGGCGGCAUGCCUAACACAUGCAAGUCGAACGAGACCUUCGGGUCUAGUGGCGCACGGGUGCGUAACGCGUGGGAACCUGCCCUUAGGUUCGGAAUAACUCCCCGAAAGGGGUGCUAAUACCGGAUAAUGUCUUCGGACCAAAGAUUUAUCGCCUUUGGAUGGGCCCGCGUUGGAUUAGCUAGUUGGUAGGGUAAAAGCCUACCAAGGCGACGAUCCAUAGCUGGUCUGAGAGGAUGAUCAGCCACACUGGGACUGAGACACGGCCCAGACUCCUACGGGAGGCAGCAGUGGGGAAUAUUGGAGAAUGGGCGAAAGCCUGAUCAAGCAAUGCCGGGUGAGUGAUGAAGGCCUUAGGGUUGUAAAGCUCUUUUACCCGGGAUGAUAAUGACAGUACCGGGAGAAUAAGCUCCGGCUAACUACGUG